AAACAACUCUCAGCAACGGAUAUCUUGGCUCUUGCAACGAUGAAGAACGCAGCGAAAUGCGAUACGUAGUGUGAAUUGCAGAAUUCCGCGAAUCAUCGAGUCUUUGAACGCAAGUUGCGCCCGAGGCUUGUCCGAGGGCAUUUCCGCUAGAGCGUCACC
Molecule: ribosomal RNA, 159 nt
Filed under: Brachythecium rutabulum
Lineage: Eukaryota; Viridiplantae; Streptophyta; Bryopsida; Hypnales; Brachytheciaceae
Also listed under: 141 other names
Description: 5.8S ribosomal RNA
Rfam family: 5.8S ribosomal RNA
About the family: 5.8S ribosomal RNA (5.8S rRNA) is a component of the large subunit of the eukaryotic ribosome. It is transcribed by RNA polymerase I as part of the 45S precursor that also contains 18S and 28S rRNA. Functionally, it is thought that 5.8S rRNA may be involved in ribosome translocation.
Source: RNAcentral